GACAGAGGUGGCAAGCGUUGUUCGGAUUCAUUGGGUGUAAAGGGUCUGUAGGUGGUCAAGCAAGUCUGACGUGAAAUCCCAUGGCUCAACCGUGGAACUGCGUUGGAAACUGCAUGACUUGAGUAUCGCAGAGGUGUAGGGAAUUCCCGGUGUAAGGGUGAAAUCUGUAGAUAUCGGGAGGAACACCAGUGGCGAAGGCGCUACACUGGGCGAUUACUGACACUGAGAGACGAAAGCAAGGGGAGCAAACAGG
RNAcentral lists this ribosomal RNA (253 nucleotides) under uncultured bacterium. Its description in RNAcentral is "partial 16S ribosomal RNA". It matches the Rfam family "Bacterial small subunit ribosomal RNA", at positions 524 to 776 of the family's 1533-position model. The record is from RNAcentral.